GGGUUGUGAGGUUAAGCGACCAAGCGUACACGGUGGAUGCCCUGGCAGUCAGAGGCGAUGAAGGACGUGCUAAUCUGCGAAAAGCGCCGGUAAGGUGAUAUGAACCGUUAUAACCGGCGAUGUCCGAAUGGGGAAACCCAGUGUGACUCGUCACACUAUCAUUAACUGAAUCCAUAGGUUAAUGAGGCGAACCGGGGGAACUGAAACAUCUAAGUACCCCGAGGAAAAGAAAUCAACCGAGAUUCCCCCAGUAGCGGCGAGCGAACGGGGAGGAGCCCAGAGCCUGAAUCAGCAUGUGUGUUAGUGGAAGCGUCUGGAAAGGCGCGCGAUACAGGGUGACAGCCCCGUACACAAAAGCGCAUGUGCUGUGAGCUCGAUGAGUAGGGCGGGACACGUGGUAUCCUGUCUGAAUAUGGGGGGACCAUCCUCCAAGGCUAAAUACUCCUGACUGACCGAUAGUGAACCAGUACCGUGAGGGAAAGGCGAAAAGAACCCCGGCGAGGGGAGUGAAACAGAACCUGAAACCGUGUACGUACAAGCAGUGGGAGCCCCACCACUAAGCCAGUGGUGAACUCCACAUACGCAUCCUUUGCGGAAGAUACGGUUAACGGAGCGAAAGCGACGUUCAACCGCAAAAGAAGCAGAGGGGGCUUAGUGGUGGGGUGACUGCGUACCUUUUGUAUAAUGGGUCAGCGACUUAUAUUCUGUAGCAAGGUUAACCGUAUAGGGGAGCCGGAGGGAAACCGAGUCUUAACCGGGCGUUAAGUUGCAGGGUAUAGACCCGAAACCCGGUGAUCUAGCCAUGGGCAGGUUGAAGGUUGGGUAACACUAACUGGAGGACCGAACCGACUAAUGUUGAAAAAUUAGCGGAUGACCUGUGGCUGGGGGUGAAAGGCCAAUCAAACCGGGAGAUAGCUGGUUCUCCCCGAAAGCUAUUUAGGUAGCGCCUCGUGAAUUCAUCUCCGGGGGUAGAGCACUGUUUCGGCCAGGGGGCCAUCCCGGCUUACCAACCCGAUGCAAACUGCGAAUACCGGAGAAUGUUAUCACGGGAGACACACGGCGGGUGCUAACGUCCGUCGUGAAGAGGGAAACAACCCAGACCGCCAGCUAAGGUCCCAAAGUCAUGGUUAAGUGGGAAACGAUGUGGGAAGGCCCAGACAGCCAGGAUGUUGGCUUAGAAGCAGCCAUCAUUUAAAGAAAGCGUAAUAGCUCACUGGUCGAGUCGGCCUGCGCGGAAGAUGUAACGGGGCUAAACCAU
Molecule: ribosomal RNA, 1258 nt
Filed under: Salmonella enterica
Lineage: Bacteria; Pseudomonadati; Pseudomonadota; Gammaproteobacteria; Enterobacterales; Enterobacteriaceae
Description: partial 23S ribosomal RNA
Rfam family: Bacterial large subunit ribosomal RNA
Source: RNAcentral